This 210-nucleotide long non-coding RNA is filed under the name Elaeis guineensis (African oil palm). RNAcentral's name for it is "long non-coding RNA (EGUI_LNC055770)". The record is from RNAcentral. Lineage: Eukaryota; Viridiplantae; Streptophyta; Magnoliopsida; Arecales; Arecaceae.
UCACAACUUAGGAUUUAGUUUUGGGCUCCAACAUAUGAAAAAAUCAAAUCAUAGGGCAUACUAGCAACACUUGCUAAUUCUCUCACCACCCUUCUUACAACUUUUGCCUCUCAAUUUUUUUUUGCUUUUUCUUUAAUUUUUUUCUAAAAUUUUUUCUCUCUUUUAUACACCACUUAUCUCUGAUUUUCACCCAAAAUCAAGCUCCAAGUC